Molecule: ribosomal RNA, 446 nt
Filed under: uncultured bacterium
Lineage: Bacteria
Description: bacterial SSU rRNA
Rfam family: Bacterial small subunit ribosomal RNA
Source: RNAcentral
UCCAGACUCCUACGGGAGGCAGCAGUGGGGAAUAUUGCACAAUGGGGGAAACCCUGAUGCAGCGACGCCGCGUGAGUGAAGAAGUAUUUCGGUACGUAAAGCUCUAUCAGCAGGAAAGAAAAUGACGGUACCUGACUAAGAAGCCCCGGCUAACUACGUGCCAGCAGCCGCGGUAAUACGUAGGGGGCAAGCGUUAUCCGGAUUUACUGGGUGUAAAGGGAGCGUAGACGGCAGCGCAAGUCUGGAGUGAAAUGCCGGGGCCCAACCCCGGAACUGCUCUGGAAACUGUGAAGCUGGAGUGCAGGAGAGGUAAGCGGAAUUCCUGGUGUAGCGGUGAAAUGCGUAGAUAUCAGGAGGAACACCGGCGGCGAAGGCGGCUUACUGGACUGUAACUGACGUUGAGGCUCGAAGGCGUGGGGAGCAAACAGGAUUAGAUACCCCCGUAA